AAUUUUACUAUAUAUCAAUAUGCUAAGUUAAGCCAAAUAAAACAAUCAAUGACUAUAUAUCAAUGACAACAGUAUUGAAAUGACAAUAUAUUAAAAUAUCUCAAUGUCAAAACAUAUUUUGAUUGUCCAAGCAAGAUUCAGUUAAAGAUUCAAUCUAAUCUGAUUAAUUGGACAAUACUAAAUUAAAUGAAACCAUAUGAGUCUCUUUUACAUGGGUACUCAUAUAUCAAUAUGCUAAGUCAAGUCAUAUAAGAUAAUCUAUAAUAUUAUUUUUAUCAAAAAUAUAUAAAGAUAAUAAUAAAUUUUCAUUUCACAAGAUAAUUAAUGGCAUACUUAAAGGGGAUACAUAAUAUUAGCAUUUAACAAGUUAGCAACAUUUAACCAAAUAAUAUCCCUCUGACUAAGGAAAUUUUGGUUCUAUAAAAUAUAAAGUAAUUUAACAAUACUGUCACAUUGGCUAAGGAUAAUUUUAUUUUUUAUCAUAGAAUAAUUUGACAAAUUAUUGUGGUACAAGUGCUUGUUUCAUCACUUAUCUCAACCCAUAUAUUGCUCAACCAAAUAAAAAAUUUCAAUAAUAGUAGGAUUUCUAGAUUAUAAAAUCUUUAUUUUUUGUGCAAAGUUAGGUACAUAUGGAUCAUUAAUACUAAUGAUGAGAGGUAGAGAAAGAUAUAAACAAUUUUAAAUAAAUUUUAAUUUUUAGGGGGUGAAAUUGAUCCAACAUGGAUCUGUUACUGGAGAACCCUAUCCAUAAUAUCAGACAGAUAAUAAUAAAUUAUCUUAUUGAUAUAACAAUGACACUUUAGCAUUUAAUAUAAAAAUACUACCGUAUUUUUUACACUAACUCAAAAAAAUGAUACCUGUAACACAUAGAGAACAUGUUUAAAGCAAUACACCAUCAAACACGGAUAAGUAUCCACCUAUCCGCCUAAUGUGCUGAGAAACCCAUCAUCAUUGAAUUCUUAACACCGCAUAAAUUUAUUCAUCAAAACAAAAAGAAUUUUUUGUUGUAAAAACUA
RNAcentral lists this long non-coding RNA (1016 nucleotides) under Musa acuminata (dwarf banana). RNAcentral describes it as "long non-coding RNA (MACU_LNC009179)". The record is from RNAcentral. Lineage: Eukaryota; Viridiplantae; Streptophyta; Magnoliopsida; Zingiberales; Musaceae.